GACGAACGCUGGCGGCGUGCUUAACACAUGCAAGUCGAACGGAAAGGCCCUGCUUUUGUGGGGUGCUCGAGUGGCGAACGGGUGAGUAACACGUGAGUAACCUGCCCUUGACUUUGGGAUAACUUCAGGAAACUGGGGCUAAUACCGGAUAGGAGCUCCUGCUGCAUGGUGGGGGUUGGAAAGUUUCGGCGGUUGGGGAUGGACUCGCGGCUUAUCAGCUUGUUGGAGGGGUAGUGGCUUACCAAGGCUUUGACGGGUAGCCGGCCUGAGAGGGUGACCGGCCACAUUGGGACUGAGAUACGGCCCAGACUCCUACGGGAGGCAGAAGUGGGGAAUAUUGCACAAUGGGCGGAAGCCUGAUGCAGCAACGCCGCGUGCGGGAUGACGGCCUUAGGGUUGUAAACCGCUUUCGCCUGUGACGAAGCGUGAGUGACGGUAAUGGGUAAAGAAGCACCGGCUAACUACGUG
RNAcentral lists this ribosomal RNA (468 nucleotides) under uncultured bacterium. RNAcentral's name for it is "partial 16S ribosomal RNA". It matches the Rfam family "Bacterial small subunit ribosomal RNA", at positions 28 to 507 of the family's 1533-position model. The record is from RNAcentral.